Molecule: ribosomal RNA, 459 nt
Filed under: uncultured bacterium
Lineage: Bacteria
Description: partial 16S ribosomal RNA
Rfam family: Bacterial small subunit ribosomal RNA
Source: RNAcentral
CCUACGGGGGGCAGCAGUGAGGAAUAUUGGUCAAUGGCCGGAAGGCUGAACCAGCCAAGCCGCGUGAAGGACGAAGGUGCCAAGCAUUGUAAACUUCUUUUGUCAAGGGACAAAAUCAGGCUCGAGAGCCUGACCGAGGGUACUUGAAGAAAAAGCAUCGCCUAACUCCGUGCCAGCAGCCGCGGUAUUACGGAGGAUGCGAGCGUUAUCCGGAUUUAUUGGGGUUAAGGGGUGCGUAGGCGGGCUUUUAAGUCAGCGGUAAAAGCCCGGGGCUCACCCCCGGCGAGCCGUUGAAACUGGCUGUCUUGAGAGGACGAAGGGUAGGCGGAAUGCGCAGUGUAGCGGUGAAAUGCUUAGAUAUUGCGAAGAACUCCGAUUGCGAAGGCAGGAUACCGGCGGCGAUCUGACGCUGAGGCACGAAAGCGUGGGUAUCGAACAGGAUUAGAUACCCGAGUAGUC